RNAcentral lists this ribosomal RNA (244 nucleotides) under uncultured Staphylococcus sp. RNAcentral's name for it is "partial 16S ribosomal RNA". It matches the Rfam family "Bacterial small subunit ribosomal RNA", at positions 96 to 334 of the family's 1533-position model. The record is from RNAcentral. Lineage: Bacteria; Bacillati; Bacillota; Bacilli; Caryophanales; Staphylococcaceae.
CGGCGGACGGGUGAGUAACACGUGGAUAACCUACCUAUAGGACUGGGAUAACUUCGGGAAACCGGAGCUAAUACCGGAUAAUAUAUUGAACCGCAUGGUUCAAUAGUGAAAGACGGUUUUGCUGUCACUUAUAGAUGGAUCCGCGCCGCAUUAGCUAGUUGGUAAGGUAACGGCUUACCAAGGCAACGAUGCGUAGCCGACCUGAGAGGGUGAUCGGCCACACUGGAACUGAGACACGGUCCAG